UUAGCCCGAAUUUUAGUUUUCCUUGCUCUAUCAUUUAAAAUAUAGUCUAAUUAGGACUCACAUUAUUCAAAUUGAUCCAAAAUCAUAUUUUGGCAAAAUUAUAGUUUUGCCCCUAAACUUUUGCAUAUUUACACUUUUUCCCCAAAGCUCGUAAAUUAAACUUCAGCCUAUUUUCUUAUGUUUUAUGACAUGCUGAUCAUUUUUUCCUUCUAUGGAAACAUCAAAUUCUCACUCUAACAUGUACUUAUGACUAAUAGGUAUUUUUACCGAUUAAGCCCUUUUGCUAAUUUUCGCUUAAAACCGAGUAGCACAAGUUGUCUAACAUAAUUUAAAACCUCAUAUUAUAUCAUAAAACACCAAAAUACACAAAUUUCACCUAUGGGUAUUUUUCCAAAUAUGAACCCUAGGUUGAAUUAUUGCUAGCAUAAGCUUAAUCGAGCUACCGGGACUCCAAAAACGUAAAAAUCAUUAAAAACGAGGCUAGAACGGACUUACAAUCGAGCUUGGAAGCUUGAAAAACCUUAGCCAUGGUUUCUCCUUGCUAUAUUCGGCCAUGGGGUUGAAGAUGAGCAAAAUUGGCUUUUAAUUUUGUAUUUUAAUUCAUUUUACCCCUAAAUAACCAAAAUGCCCUUACUACUAAACUUUCCAAAAAUUCCAUCCAUGUCCAAUUUUUGUCCAUAGACUUAGAAAUUGGUAAAAUU
Molecule: long non-coding RNA, 701 nt
Filed under: Gossypium barbadense (sea-island cotton)
Lineage: Eukaryota; Viridiplantae; Streptophyta; Magnoliopsida; Malvales; Malvaceae
Description: long non-coding RNA (GBAR_LNC010655)
Source: RNAcentral